CAGUCGCCGCGGUAAUACGUAGGUGGCAAGCGUUAUCCUGAAUGAUUCGGCGUAAAGCGUCUGUAGGUGGCUUUUCAAGUCCGCCAUCAAAUCCUAGGGCUCAACCUGGGGACUGCAUUUGAUACGUGACGACUUGAGUGGAGAGGGUCGUGGAAUUUCCAGUGUAGAGGUGAAAUUCGUAGAUAUUGGAAAGAACACCGGUGGCGAAGGCGGCGACCUGGCCUUUAACUGACGCUGAGGCGCGAAAGCGUGGGGAGCAAACAGGAUUAGAUACCCCGGUAGUCCCUGUCUCUUAUACACA
Molecule: ribosomal RNA, 301 nt
Filed under: uncultured bacterium
Lineage: Bacteria
Description: partial 16S ribosomal RNA
Rfam family: Bacterial small subunit ribosomal RNA
Source: RNAcentral